GGAGCUUGCUCCUGUGAUUAGUGGCGAACGGGUGAGUAACACGUGAGUAACCUGCCCCUGACUCUGGGAUAAGCGUUGGAAACGACGUCUAAUACUGGAUAUGACUGCCGGCCGCAUGGUCUGGUGGUGGAAAGAUUUUUUGGUUGGGGAUGGACUCGCGGCCUAUCAGCUUGUUGGUGAGGUAAUGGCUCACCAAGGCGACGACGGGUAGCCGGCCUGAGAGGGUGACCGGCCACACUGGGACUGAGACACGGCCCAGACUCCUACGGGAGGCAGCAGUGGGGAAUAUUGCACAAUGGGCGAAAGCCUGAUGCAGCAACGCCGCGUGAGGGAUGACGGCCUUCGGGUUGUAAACCUCUUUUAGUAGGGAAGAAGCGAAAGUGACGGUACCUGCAGAAAAAGCACCGGCUAACUACGUGCCAGCAGCCGCGGUAAUACGUAGGGUGCAAGCGUUGUCCGGAAUUAUUGGGCGUAAAGAGCUCGUAGGCGGUUUGUCGCGUCUGCUGUGAAAUCCCGAGGCUCAACCUCGGGCUUGCAGUGGGUACGGGCAGACUAGAGUGCGGUAGGGGAGAUUGGAAUUCCUGGUGUAGCGGUGGAAUGCGCAGAUAUCAGGAGGAACACCGAUGGCGAAGGCAGAUCUCUGGGCCGUAACUGACGCUGAGGAGCGAAAGCGUGGGGAGCGAACAGGAUUA
Molecule: ribosomal RNA, 692 nt
Filed under: Curtobacterium sp. at2
Lineage: Bacteria; Bacillati; Actinomycetota; Actinomycetes; Micrococcales; Microbacteriaceae
Description: bacterial SSU rRNA
Rfam family: Bacterial small subunit ribosomal RNA
Source: RNAcentral